AUCAGGUGCUUCCACUGCUUCUUCAAGCCAUUUCCGGGAUCUCCCACCUUUUAUUUUUUCUGCUGGUGGCCUGGUGAGUAGUUAGUUCUUAGGGGGGUCUUUUCAAUCCGUUUUGAGCCUGGGUUUUGGGGAACCAUCCACUCUUGCUUUCACUUCCUGAUGCUAGCUGGAAGCAAGAUUAGACCUUGGGAAGUCGUGAGAAAGCAUGGGGGUGGUAUGGAGUUUUAGCCUGGGAGGGGGAAAGCUGAGGCAGGCCUUGGGGCUGCUUCUUAGCCAGGGCUCUGCUGGCGGCGACCUGGAGGCUUCCAAGGGACAGAGAACUAACUGCACAGACAACAUUUAUGAACAGCUAGGGGCCUGGGAUUGCUCGCUUUUUAUGGCAGGUGCUGCAUCAAGCUAAUGUUGCCUAUGUGCCAGAGGGCAUGCAGAUUUGAGCCUGAAUCAGGAUUCUGACCUUGCCCGCCUGGUCACCUUUUCCGGUUCCAUCCAUGUGACUGCAAGGUUGAAGAUGGAUUUGGCUUUUGGUGGAAAGUGGGCUAAAUCCUUGACAAGGGAGGAGACAUGGCUCUGUGGGCAAAGCUGGGAGGUAGAAGUCCAGCACCAGAAAAUCAGAACUUCUUUGCCUCAGGCCCACCAUGGACCAAGUUAACCAGGAUUGACAUUUCUGCAUGGGGAGGGCUGAAAGGUAGCAUGACUUCAAGUCUGAUUGAGACUCUUCAGAGAGCUGUGCACAGUUUUAAUGUGCGUGACUGUAAGGCAGAAGCUGCACAUAGUAUCAGAGAGAAGACACUGAAGCUGUAG
RNAcentral lists this long non-coding RNA (801 nucleotides) under Vombatus ursinus (common wombat). RNAcentral's name for it is "lncRNA (ENSVURG00010018914.1)". The record is from RNAcentral. Lineage: Eukaryota; Metazoa; Chordata; Mammalia; Diprotodontia; Vombatidae.